CCUCUGCCUAUGAUGGUAUUAAAUAUACUUUGAGUAUUUCGCUAUGAAACGAUUUUUAAUCUGAGGCUU
This is a small nucleolar RNA of Solanum dulcamara, 69 nucleotides long. Lineage: Eukaryota; Viridiplantae; Streptophyta; Magnoliopsida; Solanales; Solanaceae. The record is from RefSeq and is a predicted model, not a curated record.